Molecule: non-coding RNA, 924 nt
Organism: Petromyzon marinus (sea lamprey)
Lineage: Eukaryota; Metazoa; Chordata; Hyperoartia; Petromyzontiformes; Petromyzontidae
Source: RefSeq, a predicted model, not a curated record
ACAAAUCACACACGUGCGCGUGAUAUCGCCAUCAGCCGCAACGGCGGUCGAAGCGGCAGCCACGAUCCAUCCACUGCUGGACGAAGGCUCUCCGCCCGCGAGCCAUCAACCACUCACCACCACCAACCACCACCAACAACAACAACAACCACCACCAAACACUACGGGACUGUCGUAGACAUCAGGAGAGGCGGCGAGGGGGAGGAAACUGGGGAAAUUAGGAGGAAACGUUUAAAGUUCUGCACGGACUGGUUCACGAAAGACACGUGAUGUGCUGCCAUCUUCUGGGCGCCUCUCAGCCCAACGGGCUUGGGAGUUUCACAACGCAUUGAGGUAAUAACGAUGCAGUCACGACACAAUUCACCAUCGGGUCUGGCUAGUACGGUACGGCAAUACCCUCCAUUUAGUCUCCCCCUUUUACAUAGUUUUCGCAAAUACGUCGUCACUUUAUUACUAAUACCGCUGCACGAUUUGCAUCGCGUUAACCCCACACACGGUUGGCGGCGUAUGGUGCGAAAGAAGUUCAACAUGCGUACAUAAAUACAUGAGAAAUCUGCUUAAAGAACUAAGUUUUAAAUAGCACUGUAUUCAACUGCAUCUCGGGCAUCAACGAAGCAACGCGUCCGCACUUCAGCUGCAGGUCUACUUGUUCAGAAAUUACGGUACAACUCGAAUUUAUUUAUUAGGGAAACACUCGUGGUAAAACACGCGUGUACACACAAUGCAACAAAAACAACAAUAUUCGGACAAAUGUACAUGAGACAAUUUCAUAUGCACAGUGUAGGCGUUCACGACCGACAUGAAGUGUUUUGGGUUCGAUCAUGUUGGCGCAAAGUUAAUCAGACACAGCCGAACAAAUCCAGUUAUCAGCUGGACAAAUGUGCCAAUUGAAUUUGGGUUUGAAUUUUCAAAGGGGGAAAAAAA